Molecule: long non-coding RNA, 11066 nt
Organism: Equus caballus (horse)
Lineage: Eukaryota; Metazoa; Chordata; Mammalia; Perissodactyla; Equidae
Source: RefSeq, a predicted model, not a curated record
UUGCUUGGGUCUUGUGAACAAGGCUGCAGUGAACAGGGUGAGGCGGUGGGAGGGGUUUGAGGGGGUGGAGGGGUGCAUAUAUCUUUUCCAGUUUGUGUUUUCAUUUCCUUCAGAUAAAUGCCCAGAAGUGGAAUUGCUGGAUCCAGGGUAGUUCUAUUUUCAGCUUUUGGAGGAAGCUCCACUGUCUCCACAGGGGCCGCACAGCCUGCCUCCCAGGCGUCUACCACGCUCCCACCCGCUGCACGGAGGGGGGGCGCUCUGGGCAGCAGGGCCUCGGUGCCGUCAUUUGUCAAACCACCAGCACUCAGAGAUCCAAGGAGGCCCUGGAACUGUGAAACUUUGCCUCCCGAGUGCAUCCUCAGAAGCACAAAGAAUUUAUGUGGGGCUAGGGCAUUCCUAAGGCAUUUCUCUAUGCCCUGCAAAGUCAUUUUUUAUAGCGAUCUGAGGCUCUUAAAAUCCCCGCGCCCUGGUAUGAUCUAGAGGUCAGACCAUAUUAAGUUCCUCUAACUUCUUCCCCUGCACUGCCUUAGGAAACGCCUCCUUGUCUGCACGGCCCUGUUCUAGGCUGCAGGGGGUCCUGCUCAACCCCAAGUCAUCAAGUCUCCACCAGGGUCCUGGGGGGCCCUGGAUAGUCAUGACUUUUGUUUAGCAGGAGAACGAAAAUAAUUUCCAUCUCCAGGAAAUGUCAAAACCAAGCAGAACGUGCGCGGCGCUCCGCCUCCCGGCCCCCGGGCCGCCGGGGAGGACAGAGUGACCGCGGCAGGAGGACUCCUCGCGGGAACGACAGCCAGCGGCGCUGCCGGCCUUAUCGGAGCGGGAGGCCUCGCUGGAGUCGAUUAAUUGCCGAAUGCUGUUGGGGUUGGCAGAUACAGGAAGCAGUUUACAUGGCCACACCGUGCCCCGGCUAACAGUCUCUCUGAAAUGGUAUUAUUGUAGCGGGCUAAUUGUGAUUAGGGACGGUUCCCCGAGGAAGACCAGGCCUUUGAUGACUGAGUCACUUCCUCCCCACUCGCUUGAGUGCGAUAGUGCGGCUCGCCCCACAGACACACACCCUUUGCUGCCCAGAGAGCCAGCGCCCCACAGCCAGCUUCCCCAGCAGGGGCACCGGAGCCCCGUCGGAGCAGGGCGCUCGGAGGAACGGGGGAGGAAGGGGGGGCAGGCAGAGGCCGCCCCUCCCCACGUUUCUUUUUUAGGUAAUGACCACAGGAACCCUUGCUGAUGAUCUCAAUUGUGUGUCCCCCACUCCUGCCUUGGAAACGGGAAGACCAGGCUUGAUGUUCACUGGCUUGUGUGACCUUGGGAAGUCCUCCUUUUGAGCCUCAGUUUCCCCAUUUGUAAAGUGGUGAUGAUUAGAGAAUCUACCCCAAAUGAUCAUUGUGAGGGUUAAAUGGGAUUACUUUAAUGUUUGUAAGCACCUAACAAAUACCAGCUGUCAUUAUUAUUGCUGUCGUUGUCGCUAAGAACGCCUCCCCUCUCCCUCGGCCCCCAAAGCAACAGGCCACUGAAGGCCGGACCCAGCGGCCCUCACGUGGACACGCAGCCCCCGCAGUGGGGGAGGCUGGGGAGGCCGGCCGGCCAGGGGGCCAGAGCCCCCCCUCCGAGCUGCCCGCGCCCCUCCCGCCGGGCGCCCCGCGCACGUGGCCGCAGCGCCCGCGCCCCGGAGCCCGGCUCCUGGGUCCACGCCAGCAGCUUCCUCGCCGUGCGCUCUUAGGACGGUCUCUUCUCCUCUCAGAGCUCAGUUUGUUCAUCUGGGCAAUGGGGAUGAAAAUACCUCUCUCGGAGCGCUGCGGUCAGGAUGCGAUUUGGGGCGCAUGCAGAACACUGCGCGUGGUCCCUGACGGAGAUGCCCCAUCAGUGGCAGCCGCAGUCGGCGAGCCGCGAAGGCCGAGGAGAGCGGCCAGCACCAGCCGCAGGCUCUGGGCUCCGGAAAGGACGGCGCUCCCACGGCCCCAGAAACGCUGCUGGGACCCGAGGUGCUGAGCGGCUGCCAGCCAGACCCAGGGCCCCAGACCGGGCCGCGUCCAGCGAGCCCCGAAGGGCGGACACCACGGCUGUGGUGUCCACCACUGCGUGCUCAGUCCCGGUGCGUUUGUUUCUCGUGGCUGCUGUAACAAAGCACCACGAGGUUAAUAGCUGAAAACAACACCAGUGCGUUAUCUUUCCCUUCUGGAGGUCAGAAGCCUGAAAUGGCUGCACUGCUUCCAGAGGCUCUGGAGGGAGCCUAGAGGCUGCCUGAAUUCCCUGGCGGGCGCUCCCCUCCCUCCAUCUUUAAAGCCGGCAGCGCAGCAUCUUCAGACUUGGCUCCGACUCUCACUAGAAGGGCUUGUGAUUGCGCUGGGCCCACCUGGGUCGCCCAGAAUACCCUCCCCAUCUCCAGGUCAGCUAAUUAGAACCUUAAUUCCAUCUGUAAACUUGAUUCCCCCUCGCUGUAUGACGUAACAUAGCCCCGGGUUCUGGGGAUGAGAAUCUGGACGUUUGGAGGGAGCCAUUAUUUGGCCACCACACCUAGUAUGGAGGAAAGUGGAUAAAACACCAGAAAAUGACACAGCCUGGCACCUGCUUUGGAGGAGCUUCCUGUAAGGAAGACCAGAGGACCUCACAGUGCCCCCAGGACAGACUGUCCACCCGUGAGGACAGUCAUGAGCACAUGACGAGUGACGACAGCAGAGGAGAGUAGCAACGGGCUCAGGAAGCCUUGGAGGCGAAGGCCCUCUGGUCACGGCUCAGUACAUCCUAAUCUUCAUGCAACAAAUCUUUUGAGCAUCAAUUAGGUGCUGAGUGCCACAGAGGUCAGGACUUUAGAGAAGCCAUGGUGGGGUGGCUUGUCAUUGCUUCUGGAUGUCUGGGAUCUGGGAAGACUUGAAUGGUAGGAGCUGGAGUCAUCUGGAGUCUUCUUGUUUCACAUCCCUGGCACAGGGUGCGCCCCAGCUGAUGAAAAUCUCCACCCUUGAGAGCCCUCAAGAUAUCAGGCUCUCAGGGCGUCGCGGGAGAAAAGGUUUAGUUUGAUGUGGUUGAGUCAGUCAUCGCUGCAUCUUCAUACUCUCGGCCCCAAACCACCUCCUGCUCAUCACCGGCACUUUGCAUUUCUCUGGAUUAUCUUUCGUCCGUUCACCACUGACCCUCACAGCCUCAGCCGGGGCUGAAGCAGGGGCAGAAGGAGGGGCCACUCCCUUCCUGGUUGAACUGCUGACUGCCUUGGCCACGCCUCUCCAAACCCAGCUCCUUCAGGAACCGGAGAAAGAGAAAGCAAGCGCAAGUGGGGCUGCAAAGACUGUUGUUACAUGAUUUCCCUUAAGCCCCAGAAAUAGAAAGCCAGACUUCCGACGCACAGAGCCCCUGUGCAAACCACUAGACCGCACUGCCAGAUAAGAAAAAUGUUAGAUUGUGUCAUACUUCCUUCAUCAGCUCCAGUUCCCCAAAUUUGAGAGAACCUCGCCAUGAUCCUAAGAUUUAGAGAGGCAAGAAGAGGGAGGACAAACGGAUCAGACUUCUCUUUUUUCUGGUAUAAAUUUGUUUUCAGCCACAGAAGUAAAGGAGAGAAAAGAUGACGAAAGAUUAGUCACCCGCUAACUUUUUUGUUUGCAUGUGCAAGAGAAAGAAACGGACUGGACAUCAGCAGGCAGUGAGAAAGAGAAUCUGCCAGCUGAAAGCGUCCUUGGCCUUUUGGAUUCACAUGUGUUCGUUUAUCCUCAUGACAGAGGAUGACACACCUCCUUGCAGAACGAGGAGGCUGGACCAGGUUCAGAUUCCCCUAGGUUCCAACUCGUAUGCUCAGUACCACCUCCACCACCGAAAUAAUUUUACUUCCCUCUCCCGGAGCAGCCUCAGUGGACGUCCACGUUGUCAGCGGCCGCAGGAAGAGUGAUGGCCGGGGUACUGACACGCUCCUAAUUGGAAGGUAGGAGGUGCCGCAGAGAUCAGCUAUGAAAGACAUCUUUGGACCCUGGUGGGCUGCUAAUGCUUGGAAGAGACUCGGGGGUGAGGCCUGGCGAGCUGUCACCCUGGCAUAGGGCCUCGCCUAGCAGACAGACAAUGCAGGCAGGAGGAGGCAGCCAGCAGACAAGGCCCGCAUGGGAAGCCACCAUUUUAGGGGAUGGCAACAAUAGUGGGCAGACCAGGACUUCAGGAGUCAGGGAGCUCACUAGCGGGUAGGGUACAAGGAAGGGAGAGCCUGGAGCCAGGAUCAGAGAGGCAGGGCCAGCAAAUAGCUGAUAAGAGCCUUGUGGUGAAGACAAGGAAAAGGAGGGACAGGAGUCUCUUACAUCCAGCUAAUAAAGAACAAACUACUUGUGACUUCUGUAGGCCUACAACUGCUCCAGGCCCUGAGGGGUUCAAAAGAAGAACCAAGCUAGAAUUGAACAUCUGAUUAAGAGAUAAGCAAAUCCACACACUGAAAUUAUUGCUGAGUAAGACAGUGCUGCCUGUGUUAUGCAAUACGGCACUUGUGCAAGCUCUCUGCUUGCAUUAUCUCGCUUAAUCCACUCAACAACCCUACAGGGUGGGUGCCGUUGUCCCUGUUUUAGAAAUGAGGGUGCUGAGAGCCGCAGACCUCGUCUAAGUUUGUCUGGCUAAUAAGCAGCUGAAGUAGGAUUCAAAUCCAGGUCUGUGUGAGCCUCUGGACUUUCCGGUACAGCCUGCAGCAUCCCUUUAGUAGAGUAAUAUAGUGCUGCACUGAGCAAGAAGGAAAAGUAAAUACUUCCUGGCUGAUGAUGCAGCGAGCAGUUCAAAGGGAGGAGCCGUGGGAGGGAGAGGGAGCUGUGAGUGAACAGGGUCGGGGAUGGCUUCUGGGAAUUGGAGGGACUGUCAGAGCUGGUUCGAAGCUGUGGCUCAUGCGUCUUCUCCACUCUCUGAGCCAGAGAAUGAGGGUCUGAGUUAGGCUUUGGGCUAUCCAGCGCUUGCUGUCUGGCGCAGCACCGAGGACCUCCCCUGAAGACUGAGGGCUUCCACACUUGUGAGAGCUCCCUGCAAGUGCGAAGGCUCCGCUCAUCAGAGAGACCCCCGGGCCACCGGCAGGCCCAGCCCCCUGAACCAGGGGUUUGCAGCACCCUCAGAGAACGGCAACUGGCCUUGGGCAGAAGAAAGAAGGAGAUGCCCUCGCAGCUCCAGGCCGUGGAAUGGGCUCUGCUGUCCUCAAGGCCUGCAGGUGACACCAGGCGCUAGGGCGCCAGGGCCUCCCAAGAAGGAAAAGGUGCGAAGCAGGGUAAUUAGCUAAGAAGGUGUCCAGGGGCAGGCAGCCUGGACCUGGUGGGGGAGCCACCAGGACUGCAUCAUGAGUGGGCGGGAUUAACUCUCCAGUGAACGGAGUGUUGCCAGGGGAUGCUUUUCUUCUUCUUCAAGGAGCCAGAAGAGGUGGUAAUUAAAUUUGUCUUUUAAAAUAAAACUAUCCUGAAGGGGGUGAGAGCCUUCAAGCUUCCCCCAUGGUGUUCUGGACACACUGGCGUCCCUCUCAGAGGGAGGAAGAGCUUCUAUUCACAGGCCGUGAGCUGGAGAGGCCUCAUGGUGAGUCAGGCUCUCUGUGUGAGCAGGGUGGUUGCUGAUGUCUUCAGGGACUGCUAAUUUACCCAUCUGAUUUGUUCCUCCACCCCAGCCACAAAGGGAGACCACUCAGUUACUUUGCUCCAAAAGAGAGGCUGUUGUUUACCGUGAUCUCCCCAGCAACUGUGUGUGUGUGUGUGUGUGUGUGUGUGUGUUUGCACAACAACCUUAUACAAUGAAGAGGUGGGGCCCACUGCCCUUGCUAGAGUGUUUAAACACAUUCCAAUACUGAAUUUGGGGCAAGGACUGUAAUGGAGUGCCUCUGAGAGGCCUUGGCCCUCAAGGAGGCCAUAACUUGAAGGAUGUCUUUAAAAAACCAGGGUGCGUCAGGAGAGUGGUCACACGUUCCUCCUCCCACAGGCGAGCGAUCAUUCGAGAGUCCCCACUUUGUGCCAGUGCCUAUGCUAGGGUUUUAUAUAUCUUAUCUUAUUGGCUUCUCACAAGUGCCCUUCGAAGCAGAUAUCAUGCUUUCAUUGGCCCAGGUUCCUCUUAGAGAAAACCCAUCCUUCCUUAGGUCCCGCCUGAAGAGGUCCAUGUUCGUACAGCUUUUCCUGACUUUAUCAGCACAGUUACUUACAUUCUCCUUUGUACUCCAAGAAAAUCACAGACUUUGGGCAGAUGGCAGCCACGGUUUCCUCAUCUGUAAGGUAGGGGUAACCCUGGGUCAUCGUGAGGAAUAAACGAAAUAAAUCAUGGAAGUGCUUCAACAGGGGCUGGCAAUUAGCCCUUGUUAGCCAUCAUUGUUGUUAAUGCUAGUAAUAAUAAUACCACAUAGAAUUACUUGCCACUAGUUGUGAGCUCCUUGAGUAUGGUGAUAGGGCCAACUUUCUUCAUGUUUCAUACCCAGAGGCGGGGGGGUUUGGCUCAUGGUAGGCACACAUUUUCUAGCUGGCGAGUGAAUGAAUAAGAGUGAAGUGUUUGCUCCUGUUCUUGAGCUCCUGAGGGUAGGCCCUUGUCCGACCCGUUUCUCUGUUGCUGACGUCCCCACUUCAUCUGGCACAGCUAAGAGUUGAGUGACCCUUUUGAACAGAUGAACAGGACCAAGAGAUGCUGCUCCUCAGCCCAUGCCUGGCCCGGGGAUCUGGCUGCACGCCCAUCUCCAUGCUCUGCUCAGGCUGGUGGUCAGCUCCUGCUCCAUGAAUUCAGUAAGUGUGUCCUGGACACUUCACCCCUAGAUGGUGAGCUCCUCGAGAGGGGACCGGGUCUUGUUUAUUUUUAAAUCCUUAGUGUCUAGCACAGCGCCUGGCGCAAAAGAAAUGCUCAAGUGUCUGCUGUGGACUGCCCAACUGGACUCAAAGGAGAGCAGAGUUCAGAAUGAAUUUGUCAUCUUUCCCCAUCAUCACCCCAAACUGGCCUUCUCCAGAAGUUCCCCAUUUCUGUUUACUAAGGACCCAUCUUCUCAGCGACAAAGGUCAAAAAUUCCUCAGGAGUAUGUUAGCAUGGAGGACAAGAGCAGUCUUUGUGGUCAGACUUUUCUGGGCUUGAACCCUGGCUUUGGCAACUGCUGACCGUCCUGUCUGGACAAGUUGCUGACCCCUUCUGAGCCUCAGUUUCCCCUUUCAUCGAAUCAGAAUAAUAACGCACACUAUUCACCCAUUCAGUAAGGACUCUUUGGGCCCCCACUACACGGCAGGGCCUGGAGACUCACAGAUGUGAGCAACACAAACAUUGCUCUCGCUUGAACAGCUGACUCCACACGAGCGAGGGAGAGAGAGACACUGAGCAAGCGAUCCAGGGAACACACAGGAUGUGGAGGGUGACGUGCUGUGGAGAAAAGUGACACUGAGGGAGGGAAGGUCAGGGUGGUCAGUGCCUUACUCAGGUGCUGAAGAAAGACCUUUCUAAUAAGGAGGACCAACGUCUGGGGAAGAAUGUUCCAGAGAGAGGAAAAGAGCAGAGACCUGAAGCUAGAGUAUGGAGGAUAACAAGGGGGCUGAGGGCCAAAGCGGGGGAGAGAGGAGAGGACCGAGAGAUACCAGGGCCAGACAUGGGGCCGUGAAGACCUUGGCUCUAACUCUGGGCACGGAGGAGCGCGUUGAGGAAUCCACGCAGGCGAGUGAGAUGACCGGACGUAGGCAUAAGAGAACCCCUCUGGCAGCUGCGUGGAGAAUGCCUCUGCGGACGGGGCGGAGGCUGGAGGCCAGCGCUCGUGCCUGCAGACUGACCGUGUGGAUGAGUGAGAUAACACGGACGCGUGGAUGGGGUGGAGGCAGAAGGCCAGCGCUGCUGCCUGCAGACUGACCGUGCGGAUGAGUGGGUGGCCCCACCCCAUGGGGGCUGCAGUAGGUGGUUCUGGGGCUGCCUCGGCUGUCCUCCCUUGCUUCCUGUGGACAGGGCUUGCCCAGUCACGCAGGGACUGUCCUGCCCUUGCCGGCCAGUCAUUCCCUCCGCCCCACACCGCUUUUCCUCAACCCUUCACUGAUGCCGAAGCUCCUUGAACAGCAGCCCCACCUCCUGCCUCUCCCGCCCCAAUCCAGCCCAAACACAACUCCAGUCACGUCCUUCCCUGCUCACGACUCUUCAAAGGACUAACGGCUCCUCGAAUCCAUAUUCUUGGAGGCUGCCACUCAAGGCCUCCCCAAUAUGAUGCUGCAUUUACUUUUUCCACCAUGUACUGCUCUCCCAGAAUUACUGAACACUUGUGGAGAAAGAGUUGGGUGCAACGUGUCACUCUCCGAGUGUCAGUUUCAAUGUCCCAAAAGGUCCCUGCAGCAGAAUGACUGAGGAGCAUAGCCACUCUCCAAAUGACAAAUUGAUUACCACGGGCCCUGACCCCAGAUUCCCUGGGCCACCCAGGAUGCCCCAACCGCGGAGGACCUGUACACUGUCCAUUGCUGGCUCCCACUCCCACCGUGCUACCACGGACCACACAAUAAUGGGUCUUCUCUGAAAGGCACUGGUGUUUCCUUUCACUGCUCUUAUCGCCCUUCAUACCUGCCCCUGUGGACCCCACCCACAAUGAAAUGCCCUCAUUUUGUCUUUCCUGGCUCUGACAGGAGAUCCAGGUUCCAAGGCGUGGAUUCCCACACCUGACUGCCUGCUACAAGCUGGCCCGAUCCUCCAUUCCUGUCUCCUUUUUCAAUCUGAGCUCAGUCCACAAAGGAUUGGUGCCUGGACCGAAGGUAGAUAAUAAGCUGGGACCCGCUGGCCAGAGACAGAACAGCAAAAUCCCUGGCUUUACAUUUGCACCAGCCUGGAGAGCAGACACCACCAUCCCUUAAUAUGCUCCCCAUGGGAAAACUUACCAUCGAUUUAAAGGCUUGUUCAUUUGGGGCCCUUCUCACACGGAAGUAUUGGUACUUGGACUGGCACCUUCCACCAUGUGGGUCUUGCAGAAAAGCAAAAGAGAUCCUGGUCCCCAACACCAAUAUUCUAAAAUAGCAUGCCUGAGGCUAUCUAUUGCUCCCACAUGAUGCUGAAGCAAGGACAGCCACUCACAGCUGUGGGAUCCACGUGCCUCCUGGCACUAUGAGCUGGCAUCCCUGAAUGCUCUUGUGGAGCCUAAACCAUGUAGUGUGGAACAUUUAGGUCCUCACCAGCUGGCUAUGCCUGAUUGGCUGAUGGUGUUUUCUGGGGCAUAUUCUCCUACUCAGUGCCAGGACACCUGGGCAAUAUGGCACCCGCUGCGUCCUCCCUAUCUGGAGUGUAUGACUCUUCUUCCAUAACACGAUAGGCCAGGCAGAUGACGUUAUCCUAAGCAGCCAUCAGGAAAACCAGAAAGGAAUGUGGUCCUGCACUCUCAGUGCCCCCUGCAGACAACCUUUGCCAUCGUUAUGAUGCCCAGUGGGCUGCCCACUCAAGCAAGCCUCCUACCUUGCGCAUCUUUGUGACAGCCUUCCCAAUAUCAGCCUAUGAUUCCAUGACCUGGGCCUGGCUCAAGAGUGGUACUGGCCCAGGGAGCCAACCACCACAUUGCACAUUGGGACCACAGCCCAGACAACGACUGCGUCUCAGAGGAUGACGACCCAGUUACCCACAUUAUCUACCAAGGUGCCCCCUGCCAGAGCACAGGCAUCUUCCCCUCAGGGGAUCCCCGCUCAGUACAUACUAUAAUUGAAAGAGGUGCACACCAGACAAGCCUCCAAAGUUACAACUCUCUCCUCCCCAUCCUCCUCACUGGGCACAAUAAACCACAUUCCCACUGUGGCUAAAACUUCCUCUCUCAGACCUCCCAAUGCAAACCUACUCCUUAAGGCUAUCCCCAGGCUGACCUGUAUGAACACACGGUCAAGGCUACAUCCCAAUGGCUGGACCUCACACAAUGUUGGGUGCACUUUGCCCCCAUGAGCAAGCCACCCCCUUAGUCACCCCAUGCUGGAUGACACUAAGCUCAUGAAAAAGGCCCACAAAACCACCAAUACCAAUGCUACCUGUCUAGGCCACUAGGUCUUGCCCUGUCCCAUCCAGGACCUGACGGACAGGACAUUGAUUGAUGUUAUCCACUUGGUCCCCGGCCCAAGAGUCCAGAUCAUGCAUCUAUCCAAAUGCACAUGCCUGUGCCACUCCCUUAGAUGAACUCUUCCUGCUGGCCCAGCUUCCUGAAUUCACUGCACACUCCACUCACUCUGACAACCGCCUUAGCAUUUUCCCAGGUCCAAGUGAUGAGCCAUUUUCCUACCCAUUGCUCAACACGUAAGAGUGACAUUUGGGGCUGGAGGAGGGGACUAAGGGCUCACGAUAUGAUUACACAAGGAAAAUAGCAAAUGCAACAGAGGAAAUGUCCAUGGUUCUGUCCGAACCUCGUGACAUGGACAGCAGGUCAUAAACAGGGGCAGUACGUGAGGCUUUCACUAAGGGGCACAAAUCCCUGACUGUGCGGGGGCAGGUCACAGACUAGCUCCAGAGACCUGCUAGCUGCCCAGGAGUAUGUGCCCUCAAAGGAACUCCCUGCUACACGUGGAUAAAUAACACAGGCAAAGUGACCCAAAUAGCCUGACAGAGGAGCCACCACACCAAAACCAAACUUCACAUCAGCUACCCUGAACUCCCUAGGACCCGGGUGUCCCAGCAGUCGGGGGUCCUUGUCCCAGGGGCCCUUCUGCCAGCAAUUGGACUUCACAUGCUGAGCUGGCUGUGUGAAAUUGGGAGAGCCUACAGACAAGUAUACUAACAAGAGUCUUGGCCUGGUGAACUGAGUGGCAGUGGUGAAUUCUGGAAAAACUGAGUUGGGUGCAAAAAUCAGCUCUCAGCAAAAUGACAUUUGGCCAAACUUUUGACACCCUCCAGGCAAGAAACCAGCAGAAGCCCAGUGAGGGGGCUCACUUCUGCUACACUUAGUAGGUCACAUGCAAGGGAACCCACCCUGCCCCUUUUUGAUUGCCCCUCCCCAGCCUGACCCCCACUGGAACAGACCACCUGGAACUAAUCUGCGCCCCCACCGCCUCAUUUUUCAACAGGUGGGCUCCUGUCCUGUAUCUACGUCCCCAGGACCAGGCUCUCUGUCCCUGCAGAUGUCAGGGAGCCCCCUUAUUGGUGGGCCCCCCACCCAGAGACUCCCCUCACUUUGCCAAUACCUGAGUCAGUAAUAAAUC